UACGUAGGGUGCGAGCGUUAAUCGGAAUUACUGGGCGUAAAGCGUGCGCAGGCGGUUUUGUAAGCCAGAUGUGAAAUCCCCGGGCUUAACCUGGGAAUGGCAUUUGGGACUGCAAGGCUGGAGUGCGGCAGAGGAGACUGGAAUUCCCGGUGUAGCAGUGAAAUGCGUAGAUAUCGGGAGGAAUACCGAUGGCGAAGGCAGGUCUCUGGGCCACUACUGACGCUGAGAAGCGAAAGCAUGGGGAGCGAACAGG
This 253-nucleotide ribosomal RNA is filed under the name uncultured bacterium. Its description in RNAcentral is "partial 16S ribosomal RNA". It matches the Rfam family "Bacterial small subunit ribosomal RNA", at positions 524 to 776 of the family's 1533-position model. The record is from RNAcentral.